RNAcentral lists this ribosomal RNA (638 nucleotides) under Nostoc sp. TPCC5b. RNAcentral's name for it is "bacterial SSU rRNA". It matches the Rfam family "Bacterial small subunit ribosomal RNA", at positions 121 to 796 of the family's 1533-position model. Lineage: Bacteria; Bacillati; Cyanobacteriota; Cyanophyceae; Nostocales; Nostocaceae. The record is from RNAcentral.
GCAAAACUUCUGGUUUGGGCACCACUGGUAACGGUGGCUAAUACCGAAAGUGCCGAAGGGUGAAAGGCUUGCUGCCUGAAGAUGAGCUCGCGUCUGAUUAGCUAGUAGGUGGGGUAAGAGCCUACCUAGGCGACGAUCAGUAGCUGGUCUGAGAGGAUGAUCAGCCACACUGGGACUGAGACACGGCCCAGACUCCUACGGGAGGCAGCAGUGGGGAAUUUUCCGCAAUGGGCGAAAGCCUGACGGAGCAAUACCGCGUGAGGGAGGAAGGCUCUUGGGUUGUAAACCUCUUUUCUCAGGGAAGAAGACGGUGACGGUACCUGAGGAAUCAGCAUCGGCUAACUCCGUGCCAGCAGCCGCGGUAAUACGGAGGAUGCAAGCGUUAUCCGGAAUGAUUGGGCGUAAAGCGUCCGCAGGUGGCUGUGUAAGUCUGCUGUCAAAGAGCGAAGCUCAACUUCGUAAAGGCAGUGGAAACUACACGGCUAGAGUGCGUUCGGGGCAGAGGGAAUUCCUGGUGUAGCGGUGAAAUGCGUAGAGAUCAGGAAGAACACCGGUGGCGAAGGCGCUCUGCUAGGCCGCAACUGACACUGAGGGACGAAAGCUAGGGGAGCGAAUGGGAUUAGAUACCCAAGUAGUCA